Molecule: ribosomal RNA, 256 nt
Filed under: uncultured bacterium
Lineage: Bacteria
Description: partial 16S ribosomal RNA
Rfam family: Bacterial small subunit ribosomal RNA
Source: RNAcentral
GACGAACCGUGCGAACGUUAUUCGGAAUCACUGGGCUUAAAGCGCGUGUAGGCGGGCCGCCCCGUCGGCUGCUGAAAUCCCCCGGCUCAACCGGGGAACGGGCACCGAUACGAGCGGCCUGGAGGGGGGGUAGGGGGGGUCUGGAACUUCCGGUGGAGCGGUGAAAUGCGUUGAGAUCGGAAGGAACGCCCGUGGCGAAAGCGGCGCACUGGACCACAACUGACGCUGAGGCGCGAAAGCUAGGGGAGCAAACAGG